UGAUGAUUUACAAUGAAGGCAAGCACCUCUAUUUAUAGCAAAAAAUGGUGAGGGUUUUUUGUGGAAAUUCCCGUGUGAAUAAGGAAGUUUCUCAUGGCGGCUAUGGUUGGCUUGUUCAACCAUUGUGGGCUGCCCGUGUGAAUAAGGAAGCUUCUCCUGGCGGCUAUAGUUGGCUGUUCAACCAUUGUGGGCUGCCCGUGUGAAUAAGGAAGCUUCCCAUGGCGGCUAUGGUUUGAACAUCUAGAAGUACGGCUGGAAGCAUAAAAAAUGAUAAUCAAAACUCAGCCUCAAUAUUUGUAAGUGAAAUACUUAUGGCCAAACCCCAGUAUGCUCGGGGAAAAGCUAAAAAUUUUGUGCACGGUUGAUGAUAUUUAAUUCCUUAAUUCAAUUCAACCAACAUUUAGCAAGACAUAACAAAUUUCAUCAGGCAAACCACAAUAUUAGCGCUUAAUAAUCACUAUUAAGAGUUACACACAGAGUAUAUUUUAAUCAUAUACUCUAUUCGUUUCAAUUUAAAUAACAUACUUUUUUUAUUAGUCUGUUUAAAAAAGAAUAACACAUUUCUAUAUUUAAAAACAAUUUAAUUUUGAAUUUUGAAUUUUAUCGAAUUUACACUUAAUGAAAAUUUUUUAUAAUUAUACAAAUAUUAUGGCCUAGUAAGUUUUAUAACUAAAUAUUUCAAAAAUCUUCUUUUUUUUUUAAAUUUUGUAUCAAACCAAACUAAGUAAAUUAAAUAAAAAGGGAGAGAGUAUACUACUACUAAACGCAAAAGCACAAAUUACCUCCACCAUUAUGACACGCCAAGUGUUCGACAUAUUUCCACGCGCAAAUUAAAUUGAAAUGAUGUUUUAAAAAGAAAGAUGUUUGACAAAGAAUUAAGUCAGUGUGAUGAUCUCUUGUCUUGGUUCAUGACUUAGGGGAGGAUAAGAGAUCCGUAUAAUGGACAAGCAAUAUAUGCCAAUAAGA
RNAcentral lists this long non-coding RNA (966 nucleotides) under Nicotiana benthamiana. Its description in RNAcentral is "long non-coding RNA (NBEN_LNC041257)". The record is from RNAcentral. Lineage: Eukaryota; Viridiplantae; Streptophyta; Magnoliopsida; Solanales; Solanaceae.